UACGGGGGGAGCAAGCGUUGUUCGGAUUUACUGGGCGUAAAGGGCGUGUAGGCGGCCACGACAAGUCACUUGUGAAAUCUCCGGGCUUAACUCGGAACGGUCAAGUGAUACUGUCGGGCUAGAGUGCAGAAGGGGCAACUGGAAUUCUCGGUGUAGCGGUGAAAUGCGUAGAUAUCGAGAGGAACACCUGCGGCGAAGGCGGGUUGCUGGGCUGACACUGACGCUGAGGCGCGAAAGCUAGGGGGAGCGAACGGG
RNAcentral lists this ribosomal RNA (255 nucleotides) under uncultured bacterium. RNAcentral's name for it is "partial 16S ribosomal RNA". It matches the Rfam family "Bacterial small subunit ribosomal RNA", at positions 524 to 776 of the family's 1533-position model. The record is from RNAcentral.